Molecule: ribosomal RNA, 194 nt
Filed under: uncultured bacterium
Lineage: Bacteria
Description: partial 16S ribosomal RNA
Rfam family: Bacterial small subunit ribosomal RNA
Source: RNAcentral
CCUACGGGAGGCAGCAGUGGGGAAUAUUGGACAAUGGGGGGAACCCUGAUCCAGCCAUGCCGCGUGUGUGAAGAAGGUCUUAGGAUUGUAAAGCACUUUAAGUUGGGAGGAAGGGCAGUUAACUAAUAUUUGACUGUUUUGACGUUACCGACAGAAUAAGCACCGGCUAACUUCGUGCCAGCAGCCGCGGUAAU